UAGUUCUUAGUGUUAAUGAUUUGGUCC
RNAcentral lists this non-coding RNA (27 nucleotides) under Bombyx mori (domestic silkworm). Lineage: Eukaryota; Metazoa; Arthropoda; Insecta; Lepidoptera; Bombycidae. The record is from RNAcentral.